Columba livia (rock pigeon) is the source of this 2862-nucleotide long non-coding RNA. RefSeq lists it as uncharacterized. The transcript has 3 exons. The record is from RefSeq and is a predicted model, not a curated record. NCBI's taxonomy places the organism in Eukaryota, Metazoa, Chordata, Aves, Columbiformes, Columbidae.
UUUUAAACCUUAUGAAUUUCUGAGUAGUUCUGCUUUGUUGCUUUCCUAGGGACAAAGGCAGGCUUGGAAAAAUAGGAAUUUCAGACCCUGAUAGCUUCCUGAUACUGUGCUAAAGACUUGUAUUACCUUUAAUUGAUGUUUCUGAGUGCAUCCUCAUUGAUUUACUCCAGCCGCGCUCUUUAUGCAGAGAACAUUCUAUUCUCAGAGCGUAAUCUAAACCCAUGCAAACAAUAUAGAUGUUUCUUGAUAACAUAAUUUAGAAAGAGGAGAUGUAAUUACCGCCUAUGCUGAACACACAGCACUGCGAACCCGUGACCCCUUUCGGAAUUCGUACAGGGAGAAACUCCCAAAUCCUUCAAUGUGCUUCUCAUUUUGCUGAAAGCCUUUUCCAUCUUAUUAUAUAUGCUGGUCCUCAUGCCUUUGAUUUUUAGCUUCCUAACGAUAUCUCAUGCUGAAAUUAUUUAGAAGGAUCGCAAAGGUUCUUACAGAUGAAAUUCAGGGAUCAUUCCUGCAGAAAUGUGUCCAUUGGUGGAAGAGGGGACAGCAGCAACGUGAGCAUCUGCUGCAGGGUGAUGGGAGGGGACCAGGCGAGUUCUCCCUGGGGUAUCUUGUUCUUUUAAGAAGUGCAAUGAAACAGGUUCUUGCUUUUAAAUACUUGAAGAGGAGGUUGGGACUCAUCUGACCUGCUCCAGAAAGUCUGCUUGCCUAUAUGUGGUCCAAUUGCUGUGAUUUAAGAGAGCAGUUGGAGCACUUUGGUCUUAUAAAUCAUCCCAUAAGCACUACAUUUCAUUGUCUUCUUGCUGAUGGAAGGGUGAGACUUUACAAUCUGAAUUUUCAUCUCUAGGGUCAAAUCUGUCUCGGUUCAGUAGUGGCUGGAAAACAUUGCCCUGCAGUGGGGUUUUACGUGGAAUAAGCACAUGUCCCUCCACUGCAUGGUCAAUUGAGAUCCAUAUAGCAGAAAAAUCACCACUGUAAUUGCUCCCUGUCUCACCUGCCUCAGGAAAAAAUAAAAUAAAAUAAAAAAUAAUAAUAACAAAAUAAUCAAUGAGUGAAUUGGCCCUGGAGACUCAAUAACUCUUCUCUCAUUUAGAGAGUGGUCCCUGCUGAACACUUUUCCACAUUGCAAAGUCACCACAUAAUGGAACAAUUCAGCUCAACUGACAGCCCUGGCUAAAAUAGCCCCGGCGCUGCACGGGGAGAUAGGCGAGGUGCUGGAGGACUGUCAGCGGGAACCCUGCCCGUGCUAAAAGAGUUUUUCAAAUGACUUCAGCGAGACCAGAAUUAGCUCGUAAGCCUGAUGCAAUGAUUCAGUGCAAAGCCCUUUUGUGUUUUGAGGUUCUGCUCAUCAGAUAUCGGCUUUUCCCCGUAUUCUGCAGCAGCGGUGGCAGGUUUCCCAUUGGCACCGACAGGUCUUAAGAACCAAAAGGUGCAUAUUGCAAUUACCCAUCAGUAAUCUGGAUUGGACACGGAGGGAGCAAAAGGGUUCAGCAACCACUGGGAUUAAGAGAGAACAAGGAGACCAACUUCAGGGAAAACAGCAGCAACCAGACACGCUGUGAGCCAGCAGAAAACACAAGAGAAGAGGAACUGGUGUACACAAAUGAGGGUGGACAGCAGUGCCCGAGGAACGGCCAGGAACACAAACCCCACUUCUCCUGUGAGUGAAGAGGCUCCUUCUCGGGAGAAGGGACUUGCUGGUCAGACACAAAGCGCAAAAUUAAGUCAGAACAGAAGUGAGAUGUGUCCGUGUGGAACACACGACUGAAGUCAGGAGGGCCAAAGAAUGCCUGGACCCGUGUCUGCCACAAGUAUCCUCUGUGAUUAGUUUGCGCUCUGAUCGCUUUUAGAAGCCCUGAAGUUAACCCUCGGCACUGAGCCGCACAGAGUCCCUGCUCAGCUUUGGGGGUCUAAGUAUAAUUAAUACGUGGAGUUUCUCUGUUCGUCACUCAGAGAAGGGGCUGGGGCUGUGCAAAUACUGCAUGAUGCCUGGAUUCUGCACGCAGAGGCCAUUUGGGCAUCAAACUAAUUGCCCUAGCCAUGUUUUUUCUAUCCAUAUGUAUAUGCAUACUGUUGUUAACUGGCAAAGGCUGAGCAGGCUGUUCACCCAGCAGCUUUGCAAGGCAGAGAUACAGGGGCCCUUUAAAACUUACAUGAAUGAGCCUCUCAUAAAUUCCAUAUUUGAGAAACUCUGGCUGUGUCCUUUGGUCAUAAAAAGAAAUUAAAACUGCAUAUAACAUUCAGUACCCUGUAAUCCCGCUGCACAGCCUUGUGCCUGCAUAAAUCAGAGCCUCUCAUGAAUAUUGCACUGUACCUGCAGCUGCCUGACCCACAUGUUUAAAAAAGAUAAAUAAAAGGAAAACAAAGCAACAGUCACGUAAAGGCUUCACGAACAGCACCUGCUUUCUCAAAGCCCAAAAGGUCACCAAAAGCAACCUGAGAAACACACAGCUUUCAGGGACCCCAUCAAAGCCUUAAAAGGAGGAGAGACUGUGGGUUUUUUUUGAUUCCUCGCUUGCAAGAGUGAAGAAAGCCCCUGUGACACACGGUAAAUCCUCUGGCAGGAGUUUUGUGGUCAGGGAGAGGGACCAGCUGCAGAACACCCCGAGAGAGCUGAGGAGCAAGGAAGAAAAGCUAUUUUAUAAGCCUGGGAGGGGGAGCAAGACCCAAGCUUCAACAGUAAAGUGCUUUUCCACCAGAAAUAACUCACAGAAGUUUAGGAUUUCAGAUUUUGCAUUGCUUAAAGAUAAGGAUACGCUCCUUUUUUUGUUUGUUUGUUUGUUUUUAAUCCCAAAAUUUUACAGAAUAAAAAUCUAGCUUCUUGUCUAGCUCCAAAAGAGAGACCAGGGAGAGCCACCAUUAGCA